This is a long non-coding RNA of Lutzomyia longipalpis, 1811 nucleotides long. RefSeq lists it as uncharacterized. Lineage: Eukaryota; Metazoa; Arthropoda; Insecta; Diptera; Psychodidae. The record is from RefSeq and is a predicted model, not a curated record. The transcript is spliced from 2 exons.
AUUUAUGUUAGGACACCAUAAUCAAACGUCCAAUGCUACUCCAAGGUAAUUUCAUAGGACAUUCUAAUUGAACGUUUCCAAUGCCAGUCCAAUGGAUUAUCAUUGGACAUUCGAUUGUGAUAUGUCUAACAGUAGUUUAAUGUUUAAUCCUACGAUUUAUGUUAGGACACCAUAAUCAAACGUCCAAUGCUACUCCAAGGUAAUUUCAUAGGACAUUCUAAUUGAACGUUUCCAAUGCCAGUCCAAUGGAUUAUCAUUGGACAUUCGAUUGUGAUAUGUCUAACAGUAGUUUAAUGUUUAAUCCUACGAUGUAUGUUAGGACACCAUAAUCAAACGUCCAAUGCUACUCCAAGGUAAUUUCAUAGGACAUUCUAAUUGGACGUAUCUAAUGCCAGUCCAAUAGAUUACCAUUGGACAUUCGAUUGAGAUAUAUUCAACCAUAGUCUAAUGUUUAAUCCUACAGUUUACCUCAGGACACUUUAAUCAGACAUCCAAUGCUAGUCGAAGGAAAAUUUAUAGGACAUUCUAAUUGGACAUAUCCAAUGCCAGUCCAUUGGUUUAUUAUUGGACAUUUGUUUGAGAUAUGUCCAACGAUGGUCGAACGUUUAAUCUUACGAUUUAUCUUAGCACAUCUAAUUCAAACGUCCUAUGCUAGUCCAAAGGAAUUUCAGAGGAAAGUUUACGUUAGACGUAUCCAAUGCCAGUCCAUUAGUUCAUCAUUGAACAUUCGAUUGGGAUAUAUCCCACGAUUGUAUAAUAUCUUGUACUACGAUAUCUCUUAAGACGUCUAAUUCAGACGUCCAAAGCUAAUCCAAAGGAAUAUCAUAGGACGUUAAAAUUUCAUAUAUCUAAUGCCAGUCCAACUAUUUUCAUUGGACUUUCGACAUAUGCUUCCAUCGAUAUGUCUUACGUUUGUUCAAAUGUCUUUGUUCUGUGAAGAGUGCGUGUGUAGCAGCGUUGGAAAAUGGAAAAAUGGGAAAAAUAUCCGGAAAAAUAGCAAAGUAAGUACAUUAUACACUAAUUAGGAUAUAGUUAAACGAUGUGUAUAAGAAAUUAAGUUGCAAUUUAUAUAAUUGUACGCGAAAAUAGAAAUUUUCUUUUUUACAGGUUACGUGUUUCGACAAGUCCAGGUGAGAGAUUUUUUUCGAAUAAAAGCAGGUAAAAAGAGAAGUAUUUUAAUUAAAGAGCGCUCUUCUGUAAAUAGUAGUAGUAGUAGUAGUAAUAGCAGUAGUAGUAGCAGUAGUAUGUAGUAGAAGUAGUCGGGGUAGUAGUAGUAAAUAUUAUGUAUGUAAUAUUUGACAAAUUUUUCUAUUAUUCCAUUAUUAUUCAUUGAUUUGUCUUUUCAUGCUACAUGUUCCCGGACAACUUCUAUUCUCCGGACUCUCCCAGGCUCCCCAAAAAGAGUGUCCAUGGACAACCCAAUGGAUUGUCAAUGGAUUCGUCCCAUGUGUCCCAUGGACUUUUCUUGUUUUUUUCUUAUAUUCUGUAAUAUUCUUACAGCUACAUGUUCCCGGCGUUCCCGGACAACUAUCUUACGGAUACUCCCACGUUACAAAAGCUCGCCAAAGAGAACUAUCAGCAUUUAUGACGAAGGGAAUGGAGAAAAGAAAAGACCGUGCCUUGGAAAACAGAAGUAGGAGAGCAUCCCGUGUCUUGGAAAACAGAAAUUGCAGAGCAUCCCGUGUCUUGGAAUACAGGAGUUGCAGAACAUCUCAAAGACCCAGGACGUCAGAGUUCAACCGCCGAAGGACAAAGUAUCAUACAUGUAAGAUUUAUAUAUAUAAUUUUUAAAUAAAAAAAUAAAAAAUUAA